Molecule: small RNA, 477 nt
Filed under: Pan troglodytes (chimpanzee)
Lineage: Eukaryota; Metazoa; Chordata; Mammalia; Primates; Hominidae
Description: processed transcript
Source: RNAcentral
GCAGGACGCAGGGUUCGGGCCUAGGGUAGGCUCUCCUGAAUCGACAGGCGCCGGACCUCUGAUCUUCGUGAAGACUCUGACUGGUAAGACCAUCACCCUCGAGGUUGAGCCCAGUGACACCAUCGAGAAUGUCAAGGCAAAGAUCCAAGAUAAGGAAGGCAUCCCUCCUGACCAGCAGAGGCUGAUCUUUGCUGGAAAACAGCUGGAAGAUGGGCGCACCCUGUCUGACUACAACAUCCAGAAAGAGUCCACCCUGCACCUGGUGCUCCGUCUCAGAGGUGGGAUGCAAAUCUUCGUGAAGACACUCACUGGCAAGACCAUCACCCUUGAGGUCGAGCCCAGUGACACCAUCGAGAACGUCAAAGCAAAGAUCCAAGACAAGGAAGGCAUUCCUCCUGACCAGCAGAGGUUGAUCUUUGCCGGAAAGCAGCUGGAAGAUGGGCGCACCCUGUCUGACUACAACAUCCAGAAAGAGUC